GUCAAAUUAGCAAAGAUUGUGCAAAUAGUUUAGAACUAUUAUAUGAAGGUUAAAGCCCAUCAUUUGAU
This 68-nucleotide transfer RNA is filed under the name Acanthopleura vaillantii. Its description in RNAcentral is "tRNA-Leu". It matches the Rfam family "tRNA". From Rfam's summary of the family: Transfer RNA (tRNA) molecules are approximately 80 nucleotides in length. Lineage: Eukaryota; Metazoa; Mollusca; Polyplacophora; Chitonida; Chitonidae. The record is from RNAcentral.